RNAcentral lists this small RNA (784 nucleotides) under Drosophila pseudoobscura pseudoobscura. Its description in RNAcentral is "GA31749". Lineage: Eukaryota; Metazoa; Arthropoda; Insecta; Diptera; Drosophilidae. The record is from RNAcentral.
AAGCCACACUUGGCUUUCAAUGGUUUUCCAAAAAAAGGGUCGAUCUUAUUUUCAUAUAACCAUACUUCAUUCUUCAUUCAUCUCUGAGGCUUUGACUGAAAUGCCAACGGGACUGAACACGAAGAGGUUUCUUCUUCUUCAUGGGAAUUCCUAUAAAGAAUGCUCUAGAAAGAAGCUGCCGCUUUUACGAAGUGUUUGCUUGUAGUUAGUGGAGUCCCUCGAAUCCUCCGAGACCCAUUUAGUUUCCAUUGAGAGCCAGACUACAUUCCAAACAGUCAAACUACUUCUUAAUGUUGGCCAAAUGAAUAUUUAACAAUUAUUUAUAAUUAUACAAAAAGAAGCGAUUUCUUUUGAACCCUUCAGGACAAUAGAGCCUUCAGACGGGCUUAUGAUGUCAAGUGAGACAUCGUUCGACCAGUGAUUUGUAGGUACAGAGACCAAGAAGUGCAUCAGAGGCUUGGAGGUGUCGAAUCUCCAUUAUCUACAACGUAGUCUACUAUCUGACCACGCUAUUCUGAAGAUCCUGUCAUAGGGGCGCUGGGUCCAUGGGUCCUACUUACCAUGGUAUAUCUAGCUAACUCUGCUAGAAACACACAACGUUCUCAAGACGAUAGAUCAUUUAACAUCGAUUCGAAUGUUUUUUUUAUUGGUUAAUUACACAUUAACAGUGUUAACAAUUGCGUGGCCCAUGUAUGUAGCGCUCUGCGGGUCUGUAGGUGUGCGCUCAACAACAGCGAAAAAGAAAACAAUAAACAAUCGAAUCGGUAUUCACAGAAUUGAACAA